This 345-nucleotide ribosomal RNA is filed under the name uncultured bacterium. RNAcentral describes it as "partial 16S ribosomal RNA". It matches the Rfam family "Bacterial small subunit ribosomal RNA", at positions 338 to 681 of the family's 1533-position model. The record is from RNAcentral.
CCUACGGGAGGCAGCAGUGAGGAAUAUUGGUCAAUGGGCGCGAGCCUGAACCAGCCAAGUCGCGUGAGGGAAGACGGUCCGAUGGAAUGUAAACCGCUUUUGUCGGGGAGCAAAAGACGCCACGCGUGGCGUGCCGAGAGUAACCGAAGAAAAAGCAUCGGCUAACUCCGUGCCAGCAGCCGCGGUAAUACGGAGGAGGCGAGCGUUAUCCGGAUUUAUUGGGUUUAAAGGGUGCGCCGGCGGAAGAUCAAGUCAGCGGUAAAAUUGAGCGGCUCAACCUCUUCGAGCCGUUGAAACUGGUUUUCUUGAGUGAGUGAGCAGUAUGCUGACUGUGUGGUGUAGCGG